GGCCACUACCUUGCAGUCACGUGAUGAAAAGACACAGGUGACACUGAUCCGGAUUUGGUGGUGGACCCAUUCUCAUUCCGAGAUUAGUUUUAUUUUGCGUCUUUUGAAUUCGAAUAGUUCAUGUGAUGUGACGUAGUGGAACA
RNAcentral lists this microRNA precursor (143 nucleotides) under Drosophila yakuba. RNAcentral's name for it is "Dya-Mir-989_pre stem-loop". It matches the Rfam family "mir-989 microRNA precursor family". The record is from RNAcentral. Lineage: Eukaryota; Metazoa; Arthropoda; Insecta; Diptera; Drosophilidae.